AAGUCUGACGGAGCAACGCCGCGUGAGUGAUGAAGGUUUUCGGAUCGUAAAGCUCUGUUGUUAGGGAAGAACAAGUGCCGUUCAAAUAGGGCGGCACCUUGACGGUACCUAACCAGAAAGCCACGGCUAACUACGUGCCAGCAGCCGCGGUAAUACGUAGGUGGCAAGCGUUGUCCGGAAUUAUUGGGCGUAAAGGGCUCGCAGGCGGUUUCUUAAGUCUGAUGUGAAAGCCCCCGGCUCAACCGGGGAGGGUCAUUGGAAACUGGGGAACUUGAGUGCAGAAGAGGAGAGUGGAAUUCCACGUGUAGCGGUGAAAUGCGUAGAGAUGUGGAGGAACACCAGUGGCGAAGGCGACUCUCUGGUCUGUAACUGACGCUGAGGAGCGAAUUUUGUGGGGAGCGAACAGGAUUAGAUACCCUGGUAGUCCACGCCGUAAACGAUGAGUGCUAAGUGUUAGGGGGUUUCCGCCCCUUAGUGCUGCAGCUAACGCAUUAAGCACUCCGCCUGGG
RNAcentral lists this ribosomal RNA (509 nucleotides) under Bacillus sp. 6Bf1S8. Its description in RNAcentral is "bacterial SSU rRNA". It matches the Rfam family "Bacterial small subunit ribosomal RNA", at positions 379 to 877 of the family's 1533-position model. Lineage: Bacteria; Bacillati; Bacillota; Bacilli; Caryophanales; Bacillaceae. The record is from RNAcentral.